Molecule: long non-coding RNA, 2292 nt
Organism: Heterocephalus glaber (naked mole-rat)
Lineage: Eukaryota; Metazoa; Chordata; Mammalia; Rodentia; Bathyergidae
Source: RefSeq, a predicted model, not a curated record
UCUUCCUUCACAAGCCUUGUUGACUAAUCUGUCGAGGUUUUAUGGUCUUCAGUGAAAAGCCAAGAACAUUGGACUAAAGAUCAGAGAUUCUGGACUCAAAUGUCAGCUCUACUACUCUGUGAGCCUGGGGAAGCCACUUGACCUCUUUGGGCCUCACUUUUCUCAUCUGUCAUCUGUUAAAUGGAUGUAGCCAGACCAACUAAAAGGGUAUGUGCAAGGGGCAUAUGAUAUCCUGUAUGUCUCAAAGCAUUUUGUAGAACUUUAGAACAUAGCAUUUUUAUUCAAUAUGAAUUUGGAAAACAACUCCAAGAUAGCCAAGAUAUCUAUUUUUUCUAGAUAAAUAACAAAACACAGAAAACAAAAGGGAAGUGAGAAAUGGAAAAACUGACUUGGCCUCUCUUUCAGAGUGGAGCUGUGACUUGGCUUCCUGUGCCUCCUACCACCUACCUCUUUUUUAUGUUUAAACCUCUGAAACUCAGCAUUUUGGCGUCUGAGAAUGCUGUGGUCUGAAUGUCUGUGCCUCCCCAAAAUUCAUAUGCUGACAACCUACUCACCAAGGUGAGGAGAAUUGGAAGUGACUUUGGGGGGUGAUUAAGUCAUUAGGGUGGAGCCCUCUUGAAUGGGAUUAGUGUCCCUUCUGCCAUGGGAAGACUCAGCAAGAAGAUAUGAUCUUCUGCAGAAGACGCCGUGCUGGCCACUGCCCACUCCUUAACCCUGGACUUCACAGCUCCAGGUCAUGAGACCAUGAGAAAUAAAGUGUGUUGAUUAUAAGACUCGGGAUUAUGAAAUUUUCGUUACAGCAGAGCAGCCUGAAUAUGCAAAGACCAACAAUAUGCUGCAUUUUUCCUAUGAAGACUGUGGCCAGUCUUUGCUGUGAAAAAAUACUCUCUGGUAACUUUUCUGUGGGUCCUCAUCACACAAUUUGCCUCAUGUUGUACUGCGAUGAGGUCAGUGUUUUCUAAUAAUGAGAAAUUCUCCAUCUUCAAGGCCAGUAGCCAGUGCCCAGGGGCUACAGGAAGGACAUGUUGGUUUCAGCUGGUGACAGUCCCAUCCUACGGUAGCAGCUGGCUUGUCGUCUGAAGGAGCCAGGCUCAACAAAAAGAGAACUGUGAGCUCUUUGUGGGAGCCUUUGGGCUGCCCAUGGCCUAUGCUGAGCCCCACCUUUCUGACAUGAGGCCUCCCCAGGGCUCCUUAAGCUUCUAGAUUUUUCUCAGGAUUCCUCUGUGUCUGGUGUUGAAUAUGCUGAAUAUCAAUCUACAAUCAAUACAGUGUUGCCUGGAGGCACCUCUUGCUUCAAAUUUGCUUCACAAAUCUGCUGCAGUGACAGAAAGCUAAGACAGCUGCAGAAAAAGCCAACCCUGCUGAUUCCUUCAUCUUGGACUUGCAGCCUCCAGAACUGUGAGCAAAUGAACAUCUGUUGUUUAAGCCACCCAGUCUGUGGUACUGUGUUAUGGCAGCCCCAGCAAUCUAAUGCAGAGGGGAAAGUGGGUUUGGGUGCAGAAAAAAUUAUAUUUAAACAUCAAAUUGCUUCUAGAAAAAGCCAAAGUAUAAACCAUGAUAAAGGAGAGAGAAGAGAAGGAAGGGGCUUGGCAAGGAUCCGGCAGUGGAAUGGGACAGACUUUCAACACCUUGCCAUGCGAUCUUUCCCCACAAACUCCUGUGUGACCCACAUAUGAAUUCUCACUGAGAGACACAGACUGAAAGAGGCUUGGCCUGAAGAAUUUGCCAGAGGGCACAGGGAGCAUGGCUUAUUUCUUGGGAGAUGACAACAGGUCAAUUUGAUCCUACACUGUAGAAUUUUCUCCAGAUGAAAAGUGAGUUUUUGAACCUGCUAAUAGCAGCACCAUGGAAUGUUUUCAGUUAUUUUCAAUCUCCAUGUUUGACUACUUUAGACCUAGAAACAUCAGUGCUGGUUCCAGUUGGAAAGAAAUAAUGGAAGAGAGAUGUGAAGAUGCCCAGGUACUUGUUACAAAUAAAUUAAAAAUAAAAAAGAAACUGUCAUGUGGCCAGAUGAUCAACAAUAUAAUGGGUAUUUGAUUGAAGCUAGAAAUACUCUAAAUAGAACUGAAGAUUGCCCUUUAAAAAUUGAAAACAAAAACAAACCAAACCUCUCUCAGAUGUCUGCAUCACAUAAACCUAAUAAGACAGAGUAAAAAAUAUUGGAUUUAUUUUUACAAGUUAGCUGUGACCUUCUCAACCUUCUGAAUGGAUUCACUUGGCACGGUUCCUCUUAAGGGCCUUAGGGUUAUGACUAACUCAUAAAAAUAAAUCCAAUAUUUCCCCCUUAGCCAU